Long non-coding RNA from Panicum virgatum (switchgrass), 436 nucleotides. RefSeq lists it as uncharacterized. NCBI's taxonomy places the organism in Eukaryota, Viridiplantae, Streptophyta, Magnoliopsida, Poales, Poaceae. The record is from RefSeq and is a predicted model, not a curated record. The transcript has 3 exons.
GCCGCCUGCUUCGUAACCGGAGACCGCGCUCGCGGAUCCGGCUGGGCUCGGCGGCGUCGGCGCUCCUCCGCCGCGCCGCCUCUCUCUCCAUGGAUUUCGUCUGCCCCGGCGAUCCCGCGGUUUGGGAUGGGAGGCGUUUCGGGCCGUGCUUCGCGGAUUUAUAUCCUUGCUUUCGAUUUCGAAAUCUCGAGUUGGUUGCGCAGUUUCGCGGUUUGUGGCGGGUCGCGGUCGCGCGCAUUUUGCGGUUUGUGGUUGCUGCUGCAUUCAAGUUUUUCCUUAAUCCUUGUCUCGUCGUUGCACGGUGCUGGGUUUGGCUGGGAAUGCGAUCGCCGCGGCCGCCGUCGUCUGGCUCUUCAUCGCCAAGAGGAACGCACCGAGAGCUCAGCAUCAGCGGACGAAGCACGUGGAGAUCGACCUACACUUCGUGCGCGACAGA